Molecule: ribosomal RNA, 440 nt
Filed under: uncultured bacterium
Lineage: Bacteria
Description: partial 16S ribosomal RNA
Rfam family: Bacterial small subunit ribosomal RNA
Source: RNAcentral
CCUACGGGAGGCAGCAGUGAGGAAUAUUGGGCAAUGGAGGCAACUCUGACCCAGCCAUGCCGCGUGAGUGAAGAAGGUUUUCGGAUUGUAAACCUCUGUCCUCUGUGAAGAUAAUGACGGUAGCAGAGGAGGAAGCUCCGGCUAACUACGUGCCAGCAGCCGCGGUAAUACGUAGGGAGCGAGCGUUGUCCGGAUUUACUGGGUGUAAAGGGUGCGUAGGCGGCCCUGCAAGUCAGAAGUGAAAUCCAUGGGCUUAACCCGUGAACUGCGUUUGAAACUGCAGGACUUGAGUGGAGUAGAGGUAGGCGGAAUUCCCGGUGUAGCGGUGAAAUGCGUAGAGAUCGGGAGGAACACCAGUGGCGAAGGCGGCCUACUGGGCUUUAACUGACGCUGAAGCACGAAAGCGUGGGUAGCAAACAGGAUUAGAUACCCUGGUAGUC